Molecule: small nuclear RNA, 115 nt
Organism: Nycticebus coucang (slow loris)
Lineage: Eukaryota; Metazoa; Chordata; Mammalia; Primates; Lorisidae
Product: U5 spliceosomal RNA
Exons: 1
Source: RefSeq, a predicted model, not a curated record
AUGCUUUGAUUUCUCUUCGGAUGUAUAAAUCUUUUGUCUUUUACUAAAGAUUUCUGUGGAGAGAACAACAAAAAUUAACGUAAAAGUGUGUAGGACCUGAACAUAGUAGUGGUUU